AGUGAACGCUGGCGGUAGGCCUAACACAUGCAAGUCGAACGGCAGCACAGAGGAGCUUGCUCCUUGGGUGGCGAGUGGCGGACGGGUGAGGAAUACAUCGGAAUCCACUCUGUCGUGGGGGAUAACGUAGGGAAACUUACGCUAAUACCGCAUACGACCUACGGGUGAAAGCAGGGGAUCUUCGGACCUUGCGCGAUUGAAUGAGCCGAUGUCGGGUUAGCUAGUUGGCGGGGUAAAGGCCCACCAAGGCGACGAUCCGUAGCUGGUCUGAGGGGAUGAUCAGCCACACUGGAACUGAGACACGGUCCAGACUCCUACGGGAGGCAGCAGUGGGGAAUAUUGGACAAUGGGCGCAAGCCUGAUCCAGCCAUACCGCGUGGGUGAAGAAGGCCUUCGGGUUGUAAAGCCCUUUUGUUGGGAAAGAAAUCCAUCUGGUUAAUACCCGGGUGGGAUGACGGUACCCAAAGAAUAAGCACCGGCUAACUUCGUGCCAGCCGCCGCGGUAA
This 506-nucleotide ribosomal RNA is filed under the name uncultured bacterium. RNAcentral's name for it is "partial 16S ribosomal RNA". It matches the Rfam family "Bacterial small subunit ribosomal RNA", at positions 29 to 523 of the family's 1533-position model. The record is from RNAcentral.